This is a long non-coding RNA of Meleagris gallopavo (turkey), 1517 nucleotides long. RefSeq lists it as uncharacterized. The record is from RefSeq and is a predicted model, not a curated record. NCBI's taxonomy places the organism in Eukaryota, Metazoa, Chordata, Aves, Galliformes, Phasianidae.
UUGCCCAAGGCGGGCAGCGGGACCUCGGUGGGAUCGGUGUACCCACCCCGAGAAGGGCAGACGAAACCCUGGCCACUUGUAUUGUGCUCUCGAGAAGACGUUAGUUCCAGACGUAUCCUGAAGACCCUUGCUGGUAACUGUCAAAUGGACUUCAGACUUCUCUUCAUUGUGACCACAAGUAGAAGGGACCAAGAUGUGACUGGCUGUUUGACUGCAACUCACUUCUGCUCCUGGCUUGCUUCAAUGGCAGCUGCCAAAUGCAGCCGUGACCAUGACGUGGUUUUGGCAGGCUUAGAAGCCUAAGGUAUCUCGAUCCGGAAGGUCCGUCUUCUUCUUCUGCACUUUUACUACCAAAGUUUUAGGCUUGUCAUUGGUGAUCGAAGCAUCAACUUCCGUGGAGAUCUGCCCGUCGGCCACCUUCGUUCCGUUUGUUGCCAUGUCUCGGGGCUUGGCGGGGGAGGCUCUGGUGGCCGCCGGACGAGGGAUUUCAGCUCCGGUCCACGUGGACAGCAGCUUUGCGGCUCGCCGGGGCCCGGCCGCGUGUCAGCCCUGGGCGGCGGGCGCUGUGUUGCUCCGGGGUGCUCUGCAAGGCACAAGAGGGGCAUUCAGCAGGGCCCGGCUGCCGGGGGUCCUACCAACAGCUGCGCUCUGCCCUCGGCUCAGUCUGCUUCCCACUGAGUCAGCGGGAAGAGACCAGAGCUAACGCUGUCCUCCAAACAAACGCCAAGCCAUGGUUACUUAUUUUUCAUUUCCCUACAGUCUGCAGGAACUACAGACCCUGAGUCUACAGAUAACUUAUCCGAAUAUACCCACUGCAUUGCACACGGCAGAUAUUUACUGCACGCUAUGCUCAAAACACACAGUUGAGAAGCAGACAUAACAAAAGCUGGAAAAGAGGCUGUUUGUGCACUCAUAAAUGAAGACUACUACGCUUAACCCUGAUUCUUUGAGGACAGGAAUAGAGUAAUUUAAUUGAUUUUUACAAACGUUCUUCAACUCCGUGGGGUCAAGCACAUAUCCCUGCUUCUGGAGAAGAUGAGUCAGUGAUGAGUUUUCUCUUUAACAGCCCAGAAUUUUUACACUGAAACUAUUCCAUUUAAUCACUCUGCAUUAAAAAGCUAGAGGAUAAUUCCCAUGAGCGUAAAGUUUCUUUAUGCAUAGAAAGGUGCUACUAUGGUUAUGGUUGACAUUAAAUAUCUACCAAUAACAGUGACGUGAAAGUUAUAAACUGUGCACGUUUCUCUGAACACUUUAAUCUGAGACCCUCCCAAAUGGAUUUAAAAUAAAUCAGAUUAAGCAACAGAACUUAAUAUUGGAUAAUGAUGUUGGGUUUCCUAUGUAGUUAUAAUUAGUCGUUAACAUAAUACAAUGUUCUACUAAGUUUAAUUUGUACAUGCUUCAGUACAAGUCUGCAAUAAGCAUGCUUCAAUUAGCUUAGUAAUUCUUUCAUCUGUCAUUAGUGCUACUAUACAAUUUUCAAAGUUUAAAUAAAGGAAAAUAAAGGAAGCAAAUGUUUC